This 41199-nucleotide long non-coding RNA is filed under the name Triticum aestivum (bread wheat). RNAcentral describes it as "long non-coding RNA (TAES_LNC006813)". The record is from RNAcentral. Lineage: Eukaryota; Viridiplantae; Streptophyta; Magnoliopsida; Poales; Poaceae.
UUUUUUUUACUUUAUGCUUUAAAAUGCACAACCCCAUGAAUCUUAACAUUUUUAUAAAACUAAUUGAUUUUGAAUGAGAUGAACUAUAAGAACUAAACGAACAUCUACAUCAUGCAUAUAUGACUCAAAGCUUUACAUGCUAUAGUGUGUAUUUAUUCAUAAUUUGGUUUCCAAAUCUCAUGCGUUCAAUGCAUGUGUACCUUGAUAGUUUUGAGUAGAGUAGCAAAUUUCACGCGGUCGCGGGUAUAUUAAAAUGCAGGGCCCAUGCAUCACUGCCUUUCGGUCAAACCUACGUCCACAAUUUUUUGUACGUAUAUCUCCACUAGUCCCAGAACCCAAAAUGCUGCCUCGUUCUCGUAAAACUAAGCGGCCCACACAUAUUAAGGCGUUGACUCGAACUCAAUCCCUGUCGACGUGGCCCCGCACGUCGUAGUACUCCUACAAACCCUACCGCCUCACACAUCAUCAGUUUUCUACAAGAGGACGAGGGAGAAGCGGAUUUGUAGUGGAGGCAUUUUCAAAAAAAGGAUUUGUAGCAGAGACACCUACCCGAGGGUGCCCUAGGUAGCUACCGCACGCAUCAUUGGUUUUCUCUUUUCUUUAUGCUCUUGCGCCCUAGAGUGAAAUGAUGGUUGCUUUGUCCAUGUAGCUUAAUGCGGGAAAGGUGGGGCUUUGUGAUUUGACCCAUCAUCGCUCAUUUUCUACUACUGCGGCGCUACGACCGGGGUGCCUCCAAUUCCAACCACUGCUCCGAACUGUAAUUUGGUGCAUUGCAUGUGGAACAAGGCGGUGGAUGAGCCACAUGUCAGCCAAAGGGGUCCUGUUAACUAUGUCGCCAUUUCGUGUGCGGACUGGCCCUGCUUGAGUUGCUAUGCCAACACAACAGGAGCAGCCUGCCACUUGGUUUUGCUCCUUGGGGAAUCCCGAUUAUAUUGAUCUAUAAAUAUACAUACUAUACUACCCUCUCCGUCUCGGUUUAUAGGGCGUGCACGUAGUUCUAGGUCAUCCAUUUGACUAACUAAAUAUGAGUUACUAUGUCACAAAAAGUAUAUCAUUGGAUUCUUAAGCGGAUGUAGUUUCUAAGCAUAUAUUGUUCAUCACAUAUAUAGCCAGUUAAAUUAUCCACCUAGAAUGAUGUGCAUGCCAUGUAAACCAAUACGGAGGAAGUAGUAAAAAUGAGGUGAUUUUACCGAGCGAUGGGCGGGGGAGCAUGGCCUGUCAUGCGGUCCCACGUGUCAUGAUGUACCAAGGCGAUGCGUGUGUCCCUCUUGAGGCAGAAGCAAUACUACGUGGUUUUCUUGAAGGAGAUGAUGGCGAACUGAAGUGCGAAAUAAUGGUUGCUUCGUCCGUCUGGGAAGGUGAGGCAUCGUGAUUUGACGUCUCAUUGCUCAUUACUACUACCGGGGCGGUAUGACUGGGGUGCGUCCCCCUGCUGUUCUGCAUUGUUAUUUGGUGUUUGAUACGUCAACCUGGUUGCUAUAUGUCCCACAUGUCGGCGAGAGGAAGUACAUAAUUCAUGAAAGCGAGCGUCAACGGAGGAGUACAAGACACGGCUUGGUUUUUGCUGCUUCACGCGAUCCAUCGAUACAAACCCGGACUAAAAAAGGCGAGGGCGGGUCUUUUCCCGCGCGGUAGGCAGGGGAGUCUGGCAUAGUCUAUUCGAGGCAAGGAGGCAGGAAGGGAAACAAGCAAAUAAAGGUUGAGCGACUUAGUUUUGGGAAAAUCUUAUUUUAUGGAGUACGUACCCACUAUGGAGGUAGUACUACUUACUACUCCCUCUUUUCCGGUUUUAGUGCUGCUAUACACACGACGCCGUGCGGACGACUUGCGCACGACAGCACAUAUCAAGCCGUUCAUGCAUACUAUCCAGCACAUAUCAGCGGUUGGAUUGCACAUCAUCCCAGAGUCAUGCACACAUCCAUUGUCUAUGUAGCACUUUCGUUCCGGUUUAUAGGGCUCAUCUAAAAAAAUCGUUUUUCUGUUUUAUAAGUCUCAAUUCUAUUACUAGUAGUAGUACCAUCACAUGUUGGAUUUCGAGGUGCGUUAAAUCACCCGAUGCAAGCAGUGUCAAGAGAAAACUCACCAAUGCAUGUAGAAGUCAAAUUUAGUGGUCAUGCAUACAUUUGUUCUAAUUAAUGCAUCGAUAAAAAUAACUUCUUGAGAAAAAUGAGCGUACUAAUUACUUGUGCAAAACUAUGAAAUUAAUUCCACCACUCACCGUCUACCUUGGUAGGAGAGAUUUUGAAUUUGAGCCAUAAACUGGAAAGGAGGGAGUAGUAAUUUUUGUCUCGAUUAUUAUUUGUGGCCUUGUAUAGAUGCAAAAUGUAUCUUUUUAUAGUGGCCUUGUAUAAGUAAAUGGAGGGAGUACUAAAGGACAUAUAUUCCAAACAAUAUGAUAAUCUCUCUAACCAAGGUAGGGACGAGGAGUAAACGGAGGGAGUAGUGAAAUUUUCUCCUCCUCCUGCGAGCCACCGUGCGCGUGGGCGAGGGAGCGUAGUAAGCAAGCUUCAUCUCAUCCUGCGAGCCACCGCGCCCAUGGAUGAGGGAUACGGCAUACUAAGCAAGCUUCCCCUCGUUCUGCGAGUUGACGGGACACAUCAAAAGUACUCUAGUGUAUAGAGCCUUGCCUCUAAGGUAGGCCCCACAUGGUUUGCCUCUUUUUUAACAUAACGCAUCAAGUCGCAAUUUGUUUGUUCACCCGUGGUAGACAAUCCUCCCUCCAUCAAGUGGACAACCAGUACACGUGUCAAAUACCACGUGGGCUGCCUUUUCGUAUAAAAAUGAGCUCUACCGUGUACCCGCGCGGGUGUGGUUGGGAAAGAGACGGGAGUACGUGCGCCGUGCGUGCACCUCUUCUCUUCCUACACGUCCCCCACCUACGUGGGUGUGUGAGAGAGAGAUACAAACCUAGACAUAAUGCGUCGUCCAUACCCAUGCCUCCGCCCAGUCCGACCAUCAGUCACCACCACGCCCCACUCCUCCUCACCUUAUCUCUCAUCUUUCUCCCUUCAUUUUUAUAUACAAGGCCACUAUCAAAAUUACAAUUUGCAGAUAUACCAGGUGAAAGUGCAACUAUCCCUAGGUGGUUUUGGUAAUUCCUAACAACAUAUAGCUCAUUGAGAUAACAUCAUUCCAAGAUGAAUAUUUCAGGAAAAGCUCAAUGAAUGGCAUGGCAUGGAUGAGAAAAGUGGAUCCCUCAAAAUGCUAAGGAUAAAAGGAUUGGCCCAAGCUCAAAAGCUCAAGACUCUACAUUUUAUAUUUUAGUGAUCCAAGAUCACAUUGAGUCUAUAGGAAAAGCCAAUACUAUCAAGGAGGGAUGAGGUGUUGCUUAAUGAGUUUCUCGCUCCACAGUGCUUAGUGAUAUGCUCCAAAACCCUCAACUACUUUCUCAUAUCCACAUAUGACCUAUACCAAAAGUCAAACUCGGCCCCACCGAUUCUUUCUACCCGGCGCCACCGAGUUCUGAUGUCAUAGCCACUGCCACAAACUCUAGGCAAAUCGGUCUCACCGAUAGGGAUCUCGGUCUCACCGAGAUGGGGUUAUAAUCUCUCUGUUUCCCUUCAUAACAUUUCGGUACCACCAAGAUGAGCGAUCGGUCCGACCGAGAUUGCAAUGUAAACUCCCUGUUUCCUUUUUGUAACAUUUCAGUCCCACCGAAAUGAGCGAACCGGUCCCACCGAAUUUACCUGACCAACUCUCUGGUUAGCUUAUUACCAAAGUCAAUCUCACCGAGUUUGUGUAAUUGGUCUCACAGAGAUUACGUUAUGCCCUAACCCUAACCAUAUCGGUCCUACCGAGUUGCAUGCCGGUCCCACCGAAAAUCCUAACGGUCACUAGAUUUGCUAAAUCAGUCUGACCGAGUUUCUCAAUUCGGUACCACCGAGUUUGGCAAGUUGUGUGUAACGGUUAGAUUUUGUGUGGAGGCUAUAUAUACCCCUCCACCUCCUCUUAAUUCGUGGAGAGAGCCAUCAGAACAAAUCUACACUUCCAACUUGCUGUUUCUGAUAAGGAACCACCUACACAUGUGUUGAGGCCAAGAUAUUCCAUUCCUACCAUAUGAAUCUUUAUCUCUAGCCUUCCCCAAGUUGCUUUCCACUAAAAUCUUCUUUCCACCAAAUCCAAAUCAUGUGAGAGAGAGUUGAGUGUUGGGGAGACUAUCAUUUGAAGCACAAGAGCAAGGAGUUCACCAUCAACACACCAUUUGUUACUUCUUGGAGAGUGGUAUCUCCUAGAUUGGCUAGGUGUCACUUGGGAGCCUCCGACAAGAUUGUGGAGUUGGACCAAGGAGUUUGUAAGGGCAAGGAGAUCGCCUACUUCGUGAAGAUCUACCGCUAGUGAGGCAAGUCCUUCGUGGGUGACGGCCAUGGUGGGAUAGACAAGGUUGCUUCUUCGUGGACCCUUCGUGGGUGGAGCCCUCCAUGGACUUGCGCAACCGUUACCCUUCGUGGGUUGAAGUCUCCAUCAACGUGGAUGCACAAUAGCACCACCUAUCGGAACCACGGCUCAAAAAUCACCGUGUCUCCAAAUUGUGUUUGAAUUCUCCAAACCCUUCCCUUUACAUUCUUGCAAGUUGCAUGCUUUACUUUCCGCUGCUCAUAUACUCUUGGCAUGCUUGCUUGAAUUGUGUUAUGAUUGCUUGACUUGUGCUAAGAUAGCUAAAAUCUGCCAAAGACUAAAAUUGCGAAAAGGACAAGUUUUGUUUGGUCAAGUAGUCUAAUCACCCCCCCCCCUCUAGACAUACUUUCGAUCCUACAAGUGGUAUCAGAGCUUUGGUCUCCAUUUUCUUUGAUUUCCAUAGCUUUUGGUGGUCAUAGCCUUGGUUUCACAACCUAGGAGAGUAUGGCGUCUAGCUAGGGAAAUUAUCACCGUAGAGGUCCUUACUUUGAUGGUACUAAUUUUGCUAGUUGGAAGCAUAAGAUGAAAAUGCAUAUUCUUGGACAUAACCCUGCCGUUUGGGCUAUUGUGUGUAUUGGCUUGCAAGGUCAAUUCUUUUAUUGGAGAGAACCGAACUGUGAAGCUAGUGCGGAAGAGUUGAAGAUGCUGCAAUACAACGCUCAAGCUUGUGAUAUCCUCUUCAAUGGAUUAUGCCCCGAAGAAUUCAACAAAAUCAGCCGUCUUAAGAAUGCAAAGGAAAUUUGGGACACUUUGAUUGAUAUGCAUGAAGGUACCGACUCCGUCAAGGAAUCCAAGUUGGAUGUGCUCCAAAGUCAACUUGACAAGUUCAAAAUGAAGGAUGGUGAAGGUGUCGCUGAAAUGUACUAUAGGCUUGCUCUUAUCACAAAUGAGAUUGCGGGCUUAGGAAGUGAAGAGAUGACCAAAAAAUUCAUCAUCAAGAAGAUCCUAAGAGCUUUGGACGGAAAAUAUGAUACCAUGUGCACAUUGAUCCAAAUGAUGCCCAAUUACAAAGAUCUCAAGCCAACGGAAGUCACUGGAAGAAUUGUUGCUCAUGAGAUCUCACUCAAGGAUAAGGAGGAACUUCACAACAAGUCAAGUGGUGCUUACAAAGCCUCAUGUGAAUCCCCCACAUCAUCAAGUGAGAAACAAACCUUCAAUGAAGAAUUGAGCUUAAUGGUGAAGAACUUCAACAAAUUCUACAAGAGUAGAAGCAAAGAGAGAAGCUCCAAGUCAAGGUCCUACAAUGACAAAAGAUCUUCUAGUCGAGAGCGCAAUUGCUACAAUUGUGGGAGACCCGGACACUAUUCCAAUGAGUGUACGGCACCCUACAAAAGAAGAGAAGACUCACCCAAGAGGAGAAGUAGAAGAGAAGAAUCACCACCAAGAGAGAGGAGGAGUAGACAUGAUCGUUAUGAAUGAAGAACAUCCUGGAGAAGCAAGGAUUCGGGAAGGAAGGAUAAGUCAUCAAGGAGCUACACAAAACGAAGACAUCAAGCUCAUGUUGGUGAAUGGGUAUCUGGCUCUGACUCCGACAAUCACUCCAAGAGAAGCUAUCACUCCGACUCUGAAUAUACUCAAGAUGAAGGUGUUGCCGGUCUAGCACUUGUAUCAACCAACUCCUAUGAUAUAUUUGAUUCACCAAAUGAAGGACUUGGAAUAUGCUUCAUGGCUAGAGGCCCAAAGUUAACACACCCCGAGUAUGUUGAUUUCAGUAGUGAUGAAGAUGACUUGCUAGGUGAUAAUGAUUUACUUGUUGACAACUCUAGUGAUGAAUACUAUGAUGAAACGUCAAUUAAUCAUGCUAAUCAAGAUAAAACGAAUGACAAUGAUAAGGAGAAGAUUGAGCUUAUAACUAAAGAACUAAACACUCUUAAGUUAGCUCAUGAAACUAUCUUAUAAGAUCAUCGAGAACUUUUAAAGACUCAUGAGAAGUUACGCUUUGAAAAGCUCAAUCUUGAGCAAGAGCAUGAGUUCCUAAAGGCAAUCAAUGAUGAUCUUCGUAAGAAAAGUUCUUCUUACAUUGCCAAGCAUUUACUCUUAUCUACUUACAUGCCUCAAGUCAAGUCCAUUAACAAGAACAAGAAGGAUUCUUCCUCUAGUAGUAACAAUAAUCAUGCUAAAUCCAAUGUUGUUGCUUCUAGUAGUUCUCUUGAUUCCACUAAUGAUUCUCUUAGCCAAGUUACACUUGAGCAAGAAAAUAGCUUAUUGAAGGGAAUCAUAGAGAAAGGUGUUUACAAGAGCCUUGCCGGGAGUAAGCAAUUUGAGGAAAUGUACGCAAGCAAGGAAGACAGCGGAAGAACCAAGGUGUUGGUUUUGAACGAAAGUUCAAUGCCAAUGGAGUUGAGUGGGAAGAAGAUCAAUAUCCCAAGACGAAGUUUGUUCCUCAACAAGAGAAGUAUGAUCCUACUUCCUUCAAGGGAACACAAGCUCAAGAUGAUCUUCCACCACAAGACCACAAGCAAAAGGGCAAGGACAAGCUUCAAGAGGAGAUUGAUGCAUUUGAAGAAGCUCCUAAGGCCUUGGUCAAGUGGGUUCCCAAGACCACGGCAAGUUAUACUUCAACAAGUACGACUACAACUCCAAGGAUUCCCAUCAAGAUGAUGUGGAUCCCGAAGAAGAAGAACUAGAGAGUUCUUGAGGGUGUCUCCACCAACAUAUUUCACUCAUAUCAUUUUGGCAACAACAAGUGUAAUCAACUUCCACAUCUUGCACUAGUUCAAGGAGUCACAAACCCUCUUGUUGGUAAGACAAGGGACAAGGUAAUCUAAUGCUUUCAUAGACAUCAUCUUGUGUGUGCAUCACUCUAUGUCUAUGGAUAUCCUUGUUUGUUCCUUGUGGGACUAACCCGUGUAGGUAUUGAAAGUGCAACUCACUCCAAGGGAUUGCUCCAAAUGAUCUACAUCAACAUUAAGCAUCCACAUCUUCAACGCUUACAUGAAGUCAUCAUCGACAAAACCCAAGGUUAGUUUAUCCCUCUAAGGGGAGAUCUCACAUCUAGGGGGAGCUUAACUCUAAGAAUUGAGUCAAAGCAACUCUAAUGGUGUGAACACAUCAAUGCAUUAUGUAAAAGUGGUAACCCCACUUGAGCUUAAACGAUGAGUAUGACCUAUGAUCAAAUGUUCUCAUUUGACUCCUAAGUCAAUAUACUCAUAUAUAGAUGACCUAGUAAUCACCAAUUGUUUGAUAGAUGCUAGAAUUGGGUGUGCAUGCUUUGCCACAUAUUUCAUUUGCCAUUUUAUUGUGUGAGCAUGUUGGUUGCAUAUUUUACUCAUUCGAGGACAUCCACUUGUUGUUUUGAUUGAUGGGUUUCAUUUUUUUGGCCAAGUGGAUGGACAAAAAUGCCUAAGAACCUUCUCUAGCUAUCUAUGCUUUUCUCGUCUCAAACUCUAUUCAUGCUACAUCACAAAAUUUGAUCAAGUCAGAUUCGAACCACUCUGUGUGAGGAGCACUCGGAGUCCCCGAUUCGUCAUAGACUUAAACUUCCAAAACUUCUUUGUGCAUUUCGGUCUGACCGAUUCCUCCAUUUCGGUCAUAACGAGAUCACUAAGUCAAUCUAGGUUUUUAAUCUCGAUGCAACCGAUUUGAACUUUUUGGUCACACCGAGUUGCUGUAACUGUCAACAGUUAUGCAUCUCGGUGCCACCGAGUCGUUCCACUCGGUCACACCGACAGGGUCGGGCUAUAUAUACUCACAGGCAAAAAUUUGGAAACUUUCUCCAAACCCCUUUGCCCGCGCAUAGCUCACUCUGCCUGCAGGGUCUCCAGAUCGUCCUCCUCGUUGCCAGCCGCCUCCAGUCGCUGGUCUCCGCCACCGUCAACAGAAUUCACCCCCGCCAUUGCUGCCGUAGCGAGUUCAUCGCCAAGCUAGGGUAUGGACUCGAUCACAGUGCUAUCCCCGUCCGAUUCCUAGCACAUUGUGUUCAUCAUGAUUCUUGCCACGAUUGAAACAAGUCUAUCCAGUCAAAACAAUCCUUAGAUUAGAAGUGAAUUGAAAAUUUAGGGUUAGGUUUCCGCCGAAACCAUCUCGGACCCAUCGAGUUGUAGAACUCGUUUCCACCAAUUUGGCUAAUGCCAUUGCACAAGUAUUCUCGGUCUGACCGAGAAUUGCAAAUCGUUGUGCCCGAGUUCAGGAUUUUGUGAAACCCUAGCAGUCUCGGUGCCACCGAACUGUGACUCGGUCUGACCGAGUUCACUAGUUUAGGUUCCAAAAGCUGCUUCGGUAUCACCGAGUUUGCAAAUCGGUUGAUCCGAAAUGCUUUCUGUGGAAAACUAAAACUAAGUUUUUGAAUCAUUCUUUUGCAAAAACCUCUGUAUUUUGUGAUGCUCAUCCACUCUAUCUCAUCUACAUCUAUUCACAGGGUCAGCAGUCAGUGUUUGCAAUAUGUCUGAUCAAAGUGACAGCCAGAACAGAGAAGAGGAGCAGAUUCAGAUGAGUGAGGGCACUAGUCCCUCUAGUACCUCUGAUGAGGGCAGCAGGAGCACCCCAAGAAACUUGCCUAAAGCUGCCACCAGGGCCAGAAAGAAGAAAACCUCAGAAUCUGAGGAUGAAGACUAUGUGGCAGUAGAGGAUGAGGCCACUUCCAAGAAGAAAGUGCUCAAAAAGGAGUAUGGCACAGCUGCAUCCAUUAAGCCUAGAAUGAAGAUCAAAGUGCCUGCAAAGAGAACUCCCAUGUCUAAAGCCAGAGCCUCUACUCAAGUACCUUUGGAAUCUCAACCCAAAGAGGCUGCUGCAGAAGGGAAGAAAAGGAAGGAAAGGGUCAAGAAGACCAUGGCCAGAGUUAUUGGAAAGCCUUCCAUGAUGGAAGAGGGAGAGGAAGAAGAUGUUGCUCCACCAGCACCCAAGGCUCAGAAGCUUAUGGGUGAUGCUAUUAGGUCAGGGGUUGCAUCAUCAAAGCCCAAAGAAGCACCCAAAGCUGCCUCCAAACAAAGACUACACCAAAGAGGAAUACCAGAAACAUAUCUGCUGCUGAGAAGAACAAGGCCCCAGUGCCUGAGACUGUUGCUGAAGAAGAAGAUGAAGAGCAUGUUUUGAGAAAGUUGAAGCCAAAGAUUCCAUACCACAAUGAUGCUCAUCCUGUGGCUGAGAACAUGAAACUGAGGAAGGAUGCAGGACUCAGACAGUGGAGGUUGUCUAAUCCCUAUGCUAUCAGGAGAAGGACUGCUAUUGACUACAGGUUCCAUACUAAGGAACAGCAGGAUUUCUAUGAGAUAGUGUUGUUGGACAAGAAGCCUAUAGUGUGUGACAUGAGAUGGGUCGACUGGACCUACAUAAAGGAGAAUGAGGAACACUAUCCUGGUGUGCAAGACAGUUUUAGUGCUUGUGGAGUUGCAGACUUUGUUGGGCAGAAGCUCACAAAGUGGAAUGAUGAGCUCAUAAUGCAAUUCUACUCCACAGCACACUUUUAUCUAGAUGGCAGGAUAGUGUGGAUGUCUGAAGGUACAAGGUACCAAUCAACUAUUGAGGAAUGGGCAAAUUUGAUCAAUGCACCUAAGGAGAAGGAAGAUGACUUGGAUGUCUAUGCCAAGAAGAAGAUGGAUCACAGCUCCAUGGCUCAUAUGUACAAGGAGAUCCCAGAUGCUGCAGUUGAGACACAUAAGUUUGGAUAUGUACAUUAUCUUCUGUCAGGACUCCCAACUAUCAACUGGAUCCUCAGGCAUACUCUCUUUCCCAAGUCAGGUGACCACAAUAUGAUUAGAGGCCAUGCAAUAAACUUGCUACACUUAUUUGAUGUGCCACAGAAGUUCAAGGUCAUGAGCCUCAUAGUUGAGACUAUCAAGAGGACAAUAGGUGACCAGAAGAGAAGUUGUGGGUAUGCCCCACAGAUUCAGGAGCUAAUUAACUCCAAGAUGGGCACAUGCACAUACUUGCUGGACAAGGAACAUUUUGCUAUCUAUCCAGAAUUUGAGGACAACCAAGUGGUUAUGGAUGAAGAUGAACCAUCUUCUGUGCAUGCUCAAGCCAAGAAGGAGAAGGCAAGGACAGAGAAGGCUACCAAGAUGCCAACAAUGGAAGAGGCAUCUCAGUACUUUCUGAAGAGCAAACAGGAUCAACUAGGCUACUUGAUUGCAUCCAAUCUAAGGAUUGAGAAGGGGCUGGCCACCUUGACUCAAAACCAGGAGAGCCUGGAGAGGAUCAUGGAGCAGAAGUUCUAUGACUUGGAUGUGAAGGUAACUGAGAUCCAGUCUGUUGUUGAGUAGCUUCAGGAUGAUAUGCAGGAGAGGAAGGGCAAGACAAUCACAGAUGCAUUUGUCAGAGUGCCUACAGCUCAGAGAUCAGCUGCAGUGCCAGUGGCAGACACCAGAGCCACUUCAUCUGCACCAGCUACAGCUCCUACAGCUCCAGCGCAACCAGCUUCAGCACCUACACCUCCAGCUGCAUCCACAUCUACUGAAGUCUUCGUCCAAGGAGCCAUCUCUACACCACCACCUGAAGAUCAAGCCUGAGAGUCGAUCUAGUGCUAUGCAUUUUCUAUGAACUUUUUGGUAACUUGUUGCCAAAUGGGGAGAAAAAUGUAUAGAUCAUAGGCUUCGAGAGAGAGAGUGUUGCCUUUUAUUCUCUAUUGCUUUGGUGGUUGAACUUUAUUUGCUUGUUUGAGAUACUCUAUGUCUGUGUGAUACUUGGAUGAUCAUGUGUUUGAUCAUAUGCUACAUUUAUGCAUGUUGGAUGACAUUAUCUCGUUUAUCCCUAUAUGAUCAUUCACUUUGCUUGGUGAUGAGUGCAUGUAUUCAGUUAUUAUUAUUUUGAGCGCUCCACCAAGAUGUAUGUGACAUGGAAGAGUUACCCAUGAGCCUAACUCCUUGUGCAUUUGCAGUCCAAAGCAAAUCUUAAACUAUGCACAAAUUUAGGGGGAGCUCUUGCUUAUCACAUACUUCUCAAAGAGACAAUGUUUUUCACUCUUAUUAUCAUUUGUCGAAGCUUUGAUCUAUAUGUUGUCAUAAAUUGCCAAAAAGGGGGAGAUUGAAAGUGCAACUAUCCCUAGGUGGUUUUGGUAAUUCCUAACAACAUAUAGCUCAUUGAGCUAACAUCAUUCCAAGAUGAGUAUUUCAGGAAAAGCUCAAUGAAUGGCAUGACAUGGAUGAGAAAAGUGGAUCCCUCAAAAUGCUAAGGAUAAAAGGAUUGGCUCAAGCUCAAAAGCUCAAGAGCCUACAUUUUAUAUUUUAGUGAUCCAAGAUCACAUUGAGUCUAUAGGAAAAGCCAAUACUAUCAAGGAGGGAUGAGGUGUUGCUUAAUGAGUUUCUUCCUCCACAAUGCUUAGUGAUAUGCUCCAAAACCCUCAACUACUUUCUCAUAUCCACAUAUGACCUAUACCAAAAGUCAAACUCGGCCCCACCGAUUCUUUCUACCCGGCGCCACCGAGUUCAGAUGUCAUAGCCACUGCCACAAACCCUAGGCAAAUCGGUCUCACUGAUAGGGAUCUCGGUCUCACCGAGAUGGGGUUGUAAUCUCUCUGUUUCCCUUCAUAACGUUUCGGUACCACCGAGAUGAGAGAUCGGUCCCACCAAGGUUGCAAUGUAAACUCCCUGUUUCCUUUUUGUAACAUUUUGGUCUCACCAAAAUGAGCGAACCAGUCCCACCGAGUUUACCUGACCAACUCUCUGGUUAGCUUAUUACAAAAAUCGGUCUCACCGAGUUUGUGUAAUCGGUCUCGCCGAGAUUACGUUAUGCCCUAACCCUAACCAUAUCGGUCCUACCGACUUGCAUGUCGGUCCCAUCGAAAAUCCUAACGGUCACUAGAUUUGCUAAAUCGGUCUGACCGAGUUUCUCAAUUCGGUCCCAUCGAGUUUGGCAAGUUGUGUGUAACGGUUAGGUUUUGUGUGGAGGCUAUAUAUACCCCUCCACCUCCUCUUCAUUCGUGGAGAGAGCCAUCAGAACAAAUCUAUACUUCCAACUUGCUGUUUCUGAGAAGGAACCACCUACUCAUGUGUUGAGGCUAAGAUAUUCCAUUCCUACCAUAUGAAUCUUUAUCUCUAGCCUUCCCCAAGUUGCUUUCCACUCAAAUCUUCUUUCCACCAAAUCCAAAUCAUGUGAGAGAGAGUUGAGUGUUGGGGAGAUUAUCAUUUGAAGCACAAGAGCAAGGAGUUCACCAUGAACACACCAUUUGUUACUUCUUGGAGAUUGGUGUCUCCUAGAUUGGCUAGGUGUCACUUGGGAGCCUCCAACAAGAUUGUGGAGUUGAACCAAGGAGUUUGUAAGGGCAAGGAGAUCGCCUACUUCAUGAAGAUCUACCGCUAGUGAGGCAAGUCCUUCGUGGGCGACGGCCAUGGUGGGAUAGACAAGGUUGCUUCUUCGUGGACCCUUCGUGGGUGGAGCCCUCCGUGGACUCGCGCAACCGUUACCCUUCAUGGGUUGAAGUCUCCAUCAACGUGGAUGUACGAUAGCACCACCUAUCGGAACCACGGCUCAAAAAUCACCGUGUCUCCAAAUUGCAUUUCAAUUCUCCAAACCCUUCCCUUUACAUUCUUGCAAGUUUCAUGCUUUACUUUCCGCUUCUCAUAUACUCUUGGCAUGCUUGCUUGAAUUGUGUUACGAUUGCUGGACUUGUGCUAAGAUAGCUAAAACCUUCCAAAGACUAAAAUUGGGAAAAGGACAAGUUUUAUUUGGUCAAGUAGUCUAAUCACCCCCCCCCCCUCUAGACAUACUUUCGAUCCUACACAAGGCCACUAACAUUACUUGAUGCAAUAUUAAUGGUGCUUGCCUCAUAGUACUAGCAAAGGAGUACAUUAAUUAUCCCUUGCAUGCAUGCAGGAGUGUGAGCAUUGGCUUGAUAUGCAUGAAAGAGAAGAAUACACAUUAAUUUACACGGUAACAAGGAAACAAGGUGGCUUGCAAAAUUGACUUAGAAGACAUUAAUUUUUCCCUUGGUACCUAUAAUAUGGGUUUGCGUCCUUGUAUACAAAAAUGGAGUCCGAUAAAAUUCUCGAGAUAUCAUUAGUUUCUACACAUGGGAUUACUCCUGCAUGGGUCAAUCACAACAGGUGUUUUAUAUGCAUCUUGAUGUUUCGUGCAAUGCACGGGCAUCUUGCUAGUCCAUGAAAACAACACAUGGCAAAAUUUCACGGCAAACGAGGGAUUUGAAUCUGCUGGGAGGGGCUGUUUGGAUCUUGCCCGGGGUAGCCAAAAUAUUGGCGACCCUUUUGUCCACAUGUGCCUUUGCCGCCAAUGAACGAGGAAUGGCUUGGGUGCUCAUGCAUCCUCCAGCGCGCACAUUGGAGAUGAGCUCGCAUGAGUUGUGCUUUUUUUGUCCCACCACGCCGCCCGAGUCGGUCGCAAACCGACCGGCGACCCGCAAAUUACGCCAUCCAACCGUCGCCCACACAUUAUGACAGCAACUAAACCAACCAGACGAAAUUCAUGCAAACAUGGUAAUAUUUCAUAUAAACAAUGACGGAAAUCAUAUAAAAUACCAGAUUUUCAUACAAACAUGACGAAUUUCAUUACAUGCAAAUGAACUACGCAGUGCUAGUUCUGGAUAGCACAUGUAUAUAAUACCUGGCCUAAAUGGUCGCCCACCGAUCCAUUUGUGUUCCUCAUGUCCGGCAGCACGAUCACCGGACUACCGGGAGCCCCAGAGUUAUAUGCUUCAGCGCAAAGGAUGGCUCACUUCCCCACUGCCCAACUGAUAUCAUUGGUUGAUGCCGAAGAUGAUGGUGGAAGGGGGCUUCUCCGCUUCCAUGGAGCCCAUGCGGAGUCGACAAAGGUCCUCACAACAAAAGGAUCCGGCAAGACACCUACUGUGUACGCCGGUGUCGCCUCCGCGGUGGCCUUCAUGGGACCCAAGUGGCGGCAGCCUCUCGUGUUCUACUUCUCCUCGAUGAUGGUGGCGGACGCGGAGGCGCUGGCCAUUGACUCGUCGCUCUCUGUGCACCCGGCUUUUGUUGCUGCUUGCAUGGCGCGACCGUCGGCAUGGGAGUCUCGGCCACAGAAAUGGGAGACGCGGUUGCAGACAUGGUAGGCGUGGUAUGAGGCGGUGGCGUGGACGGCAGCGAUGACGCCCGUGCGCCGCUCCUCGUCGAGCUGGCCUGGUGCGGCGAGUUGCUUAACCAUGCACCGGCUUGGGGCGGCAACUGGCUCCAUCUGGCGAGGGAGGGAGGUGGAUCAGCAAGCUGCAUAGCUUGUAUCCGGCGGGCUCGGCGGGCCACCCAGCCGACUUGGAUGCGGGAUAACUACUCUUCAUAAACCAUUGUAAGAGUGGACAAAAUGAUGAAGGAGGAGAUAGGGGAGCGGCGGAGGUGUGCGAUUCUUGGCAGGCGUUUGGCCUCGUUUAAAUAGGAGAUUAAAUAGACGGCGAACGGGAGGAUCUCGGCCGGUGUUGCGUUUAAUGCCGGCCCAGUCAUGAACGAACGUGUGUCCAGAGUGGGUUUCUCGGCUUCCACACGGGCGGGUUUCAUGGGGGCGUUUGAAUGCGGCAAGGAGGCGUGUUCAGUCGGGCGUGCAUCGAGUGGCGCCCUCGACUCUGACGUACGACACCGCGCCGUUCUUCCACUUAUGUGUGGGCUCUUUGGGUACAUGGCCUGCAUGUCAGUGACCCAACGCAGGCAGCGCACGGCAGAGGAACUUUUGGUGGGCCAGGGUGGUCAGAAGCGGGCAUUUCAUAAACCGAUCAUUGUUCAUUGAGUGUGACGUCAUCUAUUUCAUGUAGAUAAGCCUACUAUAUAAUGUAAGAGAAUUUUAAAAUUUUCAUAUAUACCUUGAUAGCCCAUUCGAUAUGUUGUGAUUCAUAAAGACCGCUGCAAACAUCAAUGUUCUGCAUACCAUAGAUAAGAUUGAUUAAUACACGUAACAAUUCAUGUCCUUAACAAAGGGUGCAUGCAUGUAUAGGUUGAGCGUGUGUCUUGCGUCGUGUGUUGUGUGCGUGCAGGCAUGCAAGUGUUGCGUGCGUGCAUGGGUACGUUUCAAUGUUGCAUGCAUGUGUGCAUACGUGCGUGUGUUCAUGAGUGCAUGUGUAUGUGUUAGUGUAGCACGCCUGCAUGUGUGUGUGUGUGUGUGUUCGUUAUGUGUACGUGUCAGUGUUGCAUGCCUGCAUGCGUGCGUGUGUUCGUGCAAGUGUUGCGUGCCCCCUCCAUUCCAAAAUAAUCGUAGCUUUAGGAUUUUCAAGAGUAAAGAUUUGUGAAGUUUGACAAAUCCUGAAAGUUCAAUUCAAGAGAACCGAAAAUGUUAAUGCUUCUGCUCCCUUAUAUUGAACGAAGCGCCAAAUAAGCCUCUGGUCACCCGAAAUCGCGCGAGACUAAUGCUUGGUGGUAGGAACUACUGGCCUGACUCUGGCCCGUGUAGCCUAUCAGCCCGACGUCCAAAGGUCUAAACCGGGGUAGGUUUGUAACUUCACCAAGACGCCAGUCUCAAUCGCCUCUGAGAAGCAUUCAUACGCCGUGGGCGCCUAAACACCCAUGCGCUCGGCCGAAAUCUCUCCCGCCCACCAUUUGGGACACCUGAGAUUACUGUCCUACCCCCAACCUGCAAUAUGUCCAAAAUUUUAGAUGGGGGCAAAGUUUGUAAAUUUCCCCAAAUUUCAAGCAAGCGUGUCCCAAAUCGAAACAUUGUUCCCCCUUAGUUCCCCUUCCCUCCGUUUCCCCAUUCAUACUCCGUGGGCACCAAAAAACCCUCUCCACCAGCCGCGAAACCCCAGCCUCCUCCAUCCUCCACCCCAUAGCGCCCAAUCCACCGCUUCCCUCCUCCAUCACGCCGUACCCCGACGUCGUCGUCCAACACAACCGCAACCGCAACGCCCUCAAGGACUUAUCAGCUGAAGCCGAGGCAGAGCCGCCUCCACGACGUCGAUGCCAAUGUGCGCCGUACCAGAACCACUUCUACCACGCCAUCCUAUGCCUCACCGAUGUCGCUCCGCUGUCGCAACCGUCCACCGCACCGGAGCUGUUCCCGCUACACCGUCGUUCGCCGCCUCGGAUCUGGUUCCCCGUCACCGACAGACGGCCACCGCACCACACUCAACAACUUGGCCAUGGGUUCGUCCAAGGCUCCACCGUCCUCCACAACUUCUCGUUUCCGGUGAACCACAAGAAGAUCGUUGGAAAAACAGAAGGAGGACAUAGCACUGCCAGCAGAAAUAGGUACUCCUCUUCCCUUAUUCGUGCAAAUCUAAUGUCUCUGCUCACACCGUAUUCAUCCCACAAAAGAAACUAGUUGAGCACUUCUUACUGCAUCUUCUUCGUGAUACUAAAUGCACAAGGUUUCCUCCCAUUUACUAUUUCACCUUUGCUAGAGGUCAGUAGCUCGCAUGGAUUUCAAUUCAGGGUUAGUUGAACCGCAAUUAAAAGAAGCAGCACCCGCUUAGGCGCGUGAGCACCUAGUCCGCCUGUUCGCCAGGGAAGCGGCACAUCGGUGUCUAUCAUAGGGGUGUGGGGCGCAGGAGCUGCUUGCGCCCGAUCUGGAGGUCGGCGGGGCUUGAAGGGAUGGCCGGGGGGGCAGUGUCAAGCACGGCGGUGCGGUGAGGUCCAGGGGGGAGGCAGGGACUGGGCCAGUGGUCGCUGGCAUUUCGAGGAAGAUCGUAACACUGACUGGCUAGAGGUAGAUGAAGGCGAUCUGCCCAUUCUUUGUACAUCAAAUGAUGUAGAAAAAUGGACUAACCUAUUUGUUUUCAGUCGACUAUUAUUUUCAUAGAAUCCUAUAGUAAUUUCGUGUGCCAUGCAUGUUGUAGAGCUAUCAUAUGUCUCUCGUCAUUUAUUUCUCACCGACCUGCUAUCUGCUACAUUUACACUGUACUAAUUGUACACACUUCACCCAUACUCACACUAUUGUUUUUUAUGCAUGGGUAUUUCAGGCUCUAACGCAGUAUUGAUGAAUGCAAAAAAGAAAAGAUAGAAGUUGCUCCAGUGUAAUUCGAAGAUAAGCACUAAGCGUUUCAGCGCUCUAAAGGGUGUAGUGUCAGUAGUAGGAGACAGUAAACGUAGCUCUGCAGUUGAUGACCUCAAUUCCACACACAACCAUCCCAGGUGCUUGCUUUAACUUUGCGCUAUCAAAUGUGGUUGCAUGUUGCAUAUGGUGUCUAGCUUGUACUGCUUCCAAUUUGGUUAAAUUGCAUAUGCUUACUUUACACAUUAUACCUUUGAUAAUGACAUGCCUUCCUAUUUUUGAUACAUACUACAUAUGUCUAUUAACCAUGUUUGUACAUCAAACUAAUGCUCUUUUGUAUCCCUCAUAAAUCACUUAUGAUGAGACAGUCACCCCAGUGGGUUACUGUGAGAUGCGCUACUCGUUUAAAGAGUGCAGUGUCAUCCUCCCCACAUGAUUCUCAAGAAACAGCAAGGCUAAAUGAAGAUAGUCAACGUAGCUCUCUAGUUGAUGACCGCAAUUCCCCCAAACCACCAUCGCAGGUGCUUGCUCUUACUUGGUAGUGUGAUAUGUGGUUGCAUGUUGCAUAUCGUGUCUACCUUGUAAUGCUUCUAAUUAGGGUAAAUUGCAUCUGCUUAGUUAACACAUUGUACCUGUGAAUAUGGCAUGCCUUCCUAUUUUUGGUACAUACUACGUCUUUCUAUUAACCAUGUUCUUGCGUCAAACUACUUUUCUUGUGUAUCCCUCAUCAAUCACUUCUGACGAUACACCUUCAAGUUGAUAGUGUAAUAUUGGUUGCAUCUUGCAUAUCAUUUCAAACAUGUAUUUCCUCUAAUUUGUGGAAGUGCCACUUAUAAUGAGACACAUCUAACUUGGUAGAGUGAUUUUGGUUGGAUCUUUCAAAUGGUGUCUAGAUUUCAUUGCUUCCAAUUUGUUGAAAUGCCUUCUGCUUAACGUUUUUCAUACAUAUUCCAUCCUCCUACAAUGUGGUUGCCAUACAUAAAAGUUGUGUUCAUCAGUAUCAUGCAUCAACGAAUUUGGAAGUGUGAAUUUCAUUCCUUUUUCUUGUGCGUUUACUUGACAAGGCAAAAUCUAAAAGGACGAAGGCACGAAAUGAUUGUGGUCCUCUGGAGCAACCGAAACAAAUGAUAUCUGCAGAUUCUCCUGCUACUCCUACUGUAGUGCAAGUUCCAAAUCCCAUCUCCCCUACUCCACAAUCCCAGGUGCUUGCUCUAACAUGGCAGUGUGAUAUCUGAUUGCAUGUUGCAUAUGGUGCCUAGCUUGUAUUGCUCCUAAUUUGUUAAAUUGCAUCUCCUUAGCUUACACAUUAUACAUGUGAAUAUGACACGCCUUCCUAUUUUUGGUACAUACUACAUCUGCCUAUCACACCAUAUUCUUACAUCAAACUACUGUUGUUGUGUAUCCUGCAUCUAUCACUUAUGAUGAGACAAUCACGCCCGUGGGUUAGUAUGAGACACGCUACUCUUAUAAAGAGUGCAGUUUCAUCCUCUCCACAUGAUUCUCAAGAAACAACCAGCCUAAAUGAAGAUAUUGAACGUAGCUCUGUACUUGAAGACCGCACUUCCCCUACACCACCAUCACAGGUGCUUGCUCUAACUUUGCAGUGUGAUAUGUGGUUGCAUGUCGCAUACGGUGUAUAGCUUGUAAUGCUUCUAAUUAGGGUAAAUUGCAUCUACUUAGUUUACACAUUAUACGACAUGCCUUCCUAUUUUUGGUGCACACUACAUCUAUGUGUUAACCAUGUUCUUACAUGAAACCACCUCUCUUCUGUAUCCUGCAUCAAUCACUUACGAUGAGACACCUUUAUUCGUUGCAUAUUGCAUAUUAUUUCUAGCCUGUUGCCAUGCAUUGCUUCUAAUUUGGUCAAAUACAUUUGUUAGGCCACCCUUUUAAUUUGGCAGAGUGAUAUUGGUUUCAUCUUUCAUAUGGUUUCUAGCUUGCAUUACUUCUAACAAGUUCAGACACCUUGUGCUUAGUUUACACUUUAUACAUCAUACAUGUCAAUAUGUCACGCCGUCCUGUUUUUCAUACAUAUUCCAUCCUCCUAUCAUGCGGCUGCCUUACAUGAAAGUAGUGUUCGUCAGUAUCAUGCAUCAAUGGGUUCUAAAGAGAAAAUUUUAUUCCUUUUUCUUGUGGGUUUGACUUGACAAGGCAAAAUCAAGAAAGAGGAAGGAAAAGAGUAAGGAAUGUGAUGAUGGUGGUCCUCUGCAGUAAUGUAAAUGGAGCAUCUGUACAGAUUCUCCUUGUACUGCUAGUGCAUUACAAGGUCCAAGUCUCCGCUCCCCUACUCCGCCAUCCAAGGUGCUUGCUCUAACUUGGCAGUGUGAUAUCUGGUUGCAUGUCGCAUAUGGUGUCUAGCUUGUAUUGCUCCUAAUUAGUGUAAACUGCAUCUUCUUAGUUUACACAUGAUACAUGUGAAUAUGACACGCUUUCCUGUUUUUGGUACAUACUAUAUAUGUCUAUCACACCAUGUUCUUACAUGAAACUACUCUUCUUGUGUAUCCUGCAUCAGUCGCUUAUGAUGGGACACCUUUAAGUUGGCAGUGUGAUAUUGGUUUGCGUCUUGAAUAUGAUUUCUAGCAUGUAGUGCUUCUAGUUUGAUGAACGCCACCUAUGAUGAGACAGUUUUAACUUGGCAGAGUGAUAUUGAUUGCACCUUCCAUAAGGUGUCUAGCUUGCAGUGCCUUCUGCUUCGUUACCACAUCAUAGGUGUGAAUAUGUCAAGCCGUCCAGUUUUUCGUACAUAUUCCAUACUCGUAUCACAACUUUGCCUUUCGUCAGAGUAGUGUUCGUCAGUAUCAUGCAUGAAUGAGUUCUGAAGAGCGAAUUAUAUUCCUUUUUCUUGUCGGUUUGACCUCACAAUGCAAAAUCAAUGAAGCGGAAGGAAAUUGGUAAGGCAUUGGAUGAUGGUGGUCCUUUCGAGCAACUGAAAUGGAGGUUCUCUACAGAUUCUACUCCGCCAUCCUCCCAACAAGAUUCGCACGACAAUGGAAGGCUGGACAGUCAACGUAGUUGUGUAGAUGAUGAGCACAUCUCCCCUACUCCACCAUCACAGCUGCUUGCUCUAACUUGGCACUAUUAUAUGUGGUUGCAUGUUGCGUAUGAUGUCUAGCUUGUAUUGCUUCUAACUUUUUUGAAUUGCAUCUGCUUACUUUACACAUAUGUCUGUGAAUAUGACAUGUGUUCAUGUUUCUAGACAUACUAUAUCUAAUCACACCAUGUUCUUACAUCAGACUACUAUUCUUGCAUAUCCCGCAUCAGUCACUUAUGAUAAGGCACCUUGAAGUCGCCACUAUGAUAUUGGUUGUGUCUUGCAUAUGAGUUCUAGCAUGUACUACUUCUAAUUUGUUGAAACGCCAUACAGUUUGAACUUGGCAGAGUGAUAUUGGUUGCAUCUUACAUAUAGUGUCUAGCUUGCGGUGCUUCUAAUUUGUUGAAAUGCCUUCUGCUUAGUUACCACAUCAUAGGUGUGAACAUGCCAUCCUGUUUUUUGUACAUAUUCCAUCCUCGCAUCAUGUGUUUGCCUUUCAUCCGAGUAGUGUCCGUUAGUAUCAUGCAUGAAUGAGUUCUGAAGAGCGAAUUUUAUUCCUUUCUCUUAUCGGUUUGACUUCACAAUGCAAAAUCAUUACAGUUGAAGGAAAUUAGUCCGGCAGUGGAUGAUGGUGGUCCUUCAGAGCAACUCAAACAUGGGGUCUCUAUAGAUUCUACUCCGCCAUCCUCCCAACAAGAUUCGCAAUACAACACAAGGCUGGAUAGUCAACGUAGCUGUGUAGAUGAUGAGCACAUCUCCCCUACUCCACCAUCACAGGUGCUUGCUCUAACUUGGCACUAUUAUAUGUGGUUGCAUGUUGCGUAUGAUGUCUAGCUUGUAUUGCUUCUAACUUUGUUGAAUUGCAUCUGCUUACUUUACACAUAAUGCCUGUGAAUAUGACACGUGUUCCUGUUUCUAGAACAUACAUGUACAUGAUGAGCACUUCUCCCCUACUCCACCAUCACAUGUGCUUGCCCUAACUUGGAACUGUUAUAUGUGGUUGCAUGUUCCGUAUGAUGUCUAGUUUGUAUUGCUUCUGAUUAUGUUGAAUUGCAUCUGCGUAGCUUACAACUUAUACCUGCAACAAUCACUUACCCAUAAGACACAUUUAACUUGGGGCUGUGAUGUAGGUUGCAUCUUGCAUUGUCUUCUAGCUUGUACUGCUUCUAAUUUCUUGAAAUGGCACUUAUGAUGAGACACUUUUUACCUGAUAGAGUGAUAUUGGUUUCAUGUUCAUAUGGUGCCUAGCUUUCAUUUCUUCUAAUUUUGUUGAAAUGCCUUAUGCUUACUUUGUUCAUACAUAUUCCAUCCUCCCAUCGUAUGUGUGAAUAUGCAACGCUGUGUUUUUUCGUAUAUAUUCCAUCCUCCUAUCCUGCGCUUGCCUUACAUCAAAGUAGUGUUCGUAUCUACCAUGCAUCAACCAGUUAUGCAGAGCUAAUUUUAUUCAUCUUCUUAUGGUUUUGACUUCAGAAGGAAAUAUCAAAAAAUAGGAGAAAAAGAGUAAGUUAGGGGAUGUUGGUGGUCCUCCGCACCGACGCAAACAGAUACUCUCUAGAUUUGCCACUGCUAUUGCUAAUGAAGUUGAAGUCCCAAGUCUACAUGAUGAGUUCAUCUCCCAUACUCCACCAUCGCAGGUGCUUGCUCUAAGUUGACAGUGUGAUAAUUAGUUUCAUGUUGCAUAUGUUGUCUAGCCUGUAUUUCUAUUUUGAUUAAAUUGCACCUGCUGAGUUUAUACAUUAUACAUGUGCAUAUGACAUGGCUUUCUAUGUCUGGAAUACACUGCAUCUAUCUAUCAUACCAUGUUCUUACAUCAAAGUACUAUUGUUGUGUAUCCCGCAUCAGUCACUCAUGAUUGGACGCUUUUAACAUGGCAGUUUGAUAGUGGUUGCAUCUUGCAUUGAUUUUCUAUGUUGUAUUGCUUCUAAUUUUUCGAAUUGCCACUUAUGACAAGAAACUCUUAACUUGGCAGAGUAAUAUUGGUUACAUCUUUCAUAUGGUGUCUAGCUUGCAUUACUUCUAUUUUCUUCAAAAUCCUUCUGCUUAGUUUACACAUCGUAGCUGUGAAUAUGUCACGUCGUCUUGUUUUUCUUACAUAUUCCAUCCUCAUACGGUUGUCUUACAUCAAAGUAUUGCUUGUCUGUAUCAUGCAUCAAUGAGUUCUGAAGAGCGAUUUUAUUCUUUUGUGUUGUGGGUACGGCUUGACAUGGCAAAGUCAAAAAAGAGCAAGGAAAAGAAUAUAGUAGGGAAUGGUGUUACUCAUUGGGUGAAACGGAAAAGGAUCUGCCCUCGAGAUUCUGCUGGUACUUAUAGUGCAGUAGAAGGUCCAAGUCCAUCGGCUAAAUCUACAAACACAGUAUCACCUGCUCCACCAGCUGCAGCAUCCGCUUCAACUAUACCAGCAUCUCAAUGAGUUACUCGUUCGUUUGCUCCAGAACUGGCCAAUUCCCAAGCUGCCUUCACACCUAACACUACUUUCAAAGCACUGCUGACAUAAUAGGACUUGUCAAGGUCAGAUGAACCUCAUGAGCAUCAACACCAAGAUGGUACCUGACCGAGUCAAGUUGCAGUUGCAUGCUCUUUUAUAUGUACUCUCACAGUUUGAUGUACACUUUUCCAUAUUCGUUGUUGAACUAGCACCACGGCGCAAGCGGAAACAGACAUCAGGGAUAAUGCUUGAUAGAUUAACAAAAUCUAAAGGAGGAAGAAUGGAGAUCCAUUUUGAGGCAGGUUUAAAAAGGUCACGUGAUGCUACAGAGUCAGCCAAGUUAGUACAGAGGCAGCCGUUGCCGUUAGGUGUCAUGCACGUAUCCUCCCAACGUGGAUCCAGUACAAUAAUGAGAAAGACAAUACCCAGUUUAACACCUUCCUUGACCUUUAUCCGUAAGUAAUGUUAUUCAUCACAAUUAGUAAUAUUGUCUUGCUCUGUCCCAUACUUUCUAGCUUCCUCCUAAUAAGACUCACAUUCUUUUUUCAAGAGAUGAGGUUCAAGUUGGAUCCGAAAGAUGAUGCAACUAAACAAGCAUGGACUCAUGUUUUUUAGUCUGCUCUGCGACAGUAUCAGUACCACCUUAGAAAAUCUCACUUUGAAGGCAAGGCUAACAAUGAAAUUGCCCAAACAUCUCCAGUGGAAUAUAUUACAGAUGAAGACUGGACAGCCCUUGUUGAACACUGGCCUGAUCCAAAGUAUCAGGUAGGCUAUAUGUAUUUGAUCAGACCACAUAUUGAACUUGUAUUUAUGUAUGUGCCUUACAAGUGUAUCUUUUUCUAGGCUAACUGUUUGAAGAACAAGACCAACCAUUCUAAAGUGAAAUUCCAACAGACAAUAGGAUCUCGUACCUAUAUUGCACACUGCGAGGCUCCUGUAAAUAGCUGCUACUUCCUUCUUUUUUCUGUGCCAUAUUAUCGUAUCUAUAUUGACUUGUUCCAAAUACAGAGGAAAGCCCGUGCGGACCAAAAAGAACCUGAACCGAAUGCAGUGCAAAUCUUCAAGGAUUGCCACACCAACAAGAUGAAGGGCAUGAGCACACCAGUUCAAGCUGCUGUUGUAAGUCCUUACUCCUCCUUCCUUUGAACUGAUUGGUACUGUGAUGUGUUCAUUUAACUGCUUGGUUUGCAGCCAAUGUCAGUUACUCUGUUCACUUUUAUAAACAGUUUCUUAACGUAUCAUUUCACCUUACAUGGUUUAAAAGAGAUGAAGGAUAUUCUUUUGGUCUUGAUCUGUAAUCUAGUUGUUAUGUUCACGUGCGCACACACAAUGAUAAAAUAGCAUGUUUGUUCUAUAUCUGUUUGCCCAUGAUAUGAAUGAUGUCAUACUAUGUUCAUCCUACUUUAAACAAUGUCUCUUUAUCCUUAGAUGUCAAUGAAUGUGAGGAAAUAGACAAUACAAUAGGCAUGCUACAUGGACAUAUGUUUCGAAAGUGAUUUUAUUAUGUAGUUGGCACUACAAUACAUGCUAAUGUAUUACAGUAGUUCACCAAAAUAAGUUAUGUAUAAACAUGUAACCUACUUUGUUUGUUUUUGUCUCAUUAGUAACUUAUCUGGUACACUAAUCUACAAGUUCAAACUUUCAGCAAGCUAUGGAACAAAUGAUUGAACAGCCACAACCACCUGAAGGUGACGAGGCUACCACAGGCACAAUGUCACCUCUUGUUGCAGUGCUUCAGUAUCUCUCCACUAAUAGUGCAAAAAGCACCUUCCUGCGUAAUUCUGGGUUGGUUGUCAAGGUAACCUCGUCCAAAUCGCCUACUGAACAAAAUCUUCCGGCUAGACAGAGUGAUAUAUCUGUGCUCCAGACACAAGUCCAAUCCCUAAUGGACGUCUUUACGGAAACAAGAAUAGUGGUUGACAAAUGUCGUCAAGAUAUGAAUGGUUUUGAAACCAGACUAUCAGACAUUCGCUUCGUUGUUCAAGAGCAAUGGCGAAAAAAGGUGAAGAUCGUGCUGCUCCAUCAGAUUCUACAGCCUGAAACAUUAGCACUCGGGUCAAAUGAUAUGUGCUUCUAUACAUCUGAUGGUGCUUUUAUCUGCAAGGACUGUAAACUUUAUGCCAACAGGCCUUUUGUUGUAUGGCUGGAAUUUAUUUUGUUGUGAUACAUCAUUUAUGAUGCUGCCAAAGGCUACAGUAAUUACGGCACUAUUUUUGUAUAGUGUAGGUUUAUCUUAGACAUGUAUACGGCUGAAAGCUUCGUAGGAGCCCAACAUGCCAACAUUCGUCGGGCCCAUUCCAAUUGGGCUAAAAACGAUUAUGGGAUGAAAUUUGCAUGUAGCCCACUAAAAAUAUUUGGGCCUAAAUCAGCACAAGCUUUCAUAUUUUUCUGGUAGGCUUGUGCCCAUAGUGGGCCUUUAACAGGCCUAAACAUAAUUUGGGCCCUUAGUAACAAUAGGCCGUUUAUAGGUGUAAAUAUCUCAAGCCGAUAAAAACAUGGGUCUUUAAUAGGCCGAAAGUGAGAUUGGGCCCUGAUUGUGCCAAAUAACCCACUGGUCUUAGCAGGCCGAAAUGGUGGCCCGUUUACAAUGCGGAUCGUUCACAGGCCGAAAUUCGGAUGGGUUGUAAAUGCGCCAACCUACUACACGGGCCUUUAACAGGCUGGAAGUUCGGUCGGGCAUGAUUAGUGUCAUUUUUAUAUAGGUCGUUAAUGGGCCCGAUGUGACAUUGGGCCACAUAUGGCCCAUGGAUUUCGUCCGACGUUAGCAGGCCGAAAAUCACAACAGGCUGAAAGUGGCCCAAAUCUAUAGUGGGCCUCUAACAGACCGAAUAUGACCCAAAUCCUUCAUGGUCAUUUAUGGGCCAAAAGUUUCAAUGGCCUGUAAAUGGGCCCAAAUGAAGCAGGACCUUUGACAGGCCGAAAAUACACCAGGCCGUAAUUCGGCCCAAAUACUUAGCGGAUUGUUAACGGGCCAGAAGUGACCAUGGGCCGCGAUGAUGACAAGUUUAGGACGGGUCAUUGACGGGCCGAUUUGACACUAGUCGUACAGGCCUUAACUAAGAAUGUUGGGCCUUUGCUGGGCCGGCCCAUUAUGGUCUGCAAAAUCUUAUUGGCCUUUAGCUAGGCCGACCCAUUAUGGCCCGCUAAAUCUUGUGGGCCUUUAGUUGGGCCAGCCCAUUUAAACCUUAUGGGCCACUUUUGGGCCCAUCCAUGUGUCAACAUAUAAUAGGCCCAUCUCGACCAUUGGAUGAGUGACACCUAUGCCAACGCGGAGCUGACACAUGGUUCCGUCGGCCAAUGAGAAUUUUACACGUGGAAAAUCGGCAUUGUUCGUGGCUGUUAGCGGGUUAUCGGAUCCAAAAUCGGACCCGAUAGCUUAAUGUCGUUCUAUUACAGUGGAUGCCACAUGUUGGUCACCCUUGACGAAAGCACUUCUAUGACGCGUGAUUUAUCAUCAUGGAAGUGGACACUUCCACGAUGAUAAUUUUGGUAAUGUCAUAAAACACUUCUACAACAGCACAGGUAUGAUUGUCUUGAUUCCGUCAUAAAAUCGUCAUGGAUGUACAUGCAUGACAGAAAACGUGACCUACUAUGACAAACACGUAUCAUCAUGGAAGUGUAUUUUUUUGUAGUGUUGAGGCCAGUCUUUUUGCAUACCCGCUUGACUGAUAUUUUGAAAAUGCCUCCUUACGCAAAGUACAUGAAAGAUAUCAUCACCAAUAAGAGGAAAAUACCGGAAGCUGAAAUCUCCACCAUGCUUGCUAAUCACACUUAAGAUGGAGUACCUAAAAAACUUGGAGAUCCGGGAAUACCAACUAUACCUUGCUCCAUCAAAAUAAACUAAGUGAAAACUACUUUGUGUGAUUUGGGAGCUGGUGUUAGUGUUAUGCCUUUGUCUUUAUAUAAAAGACUUGAUUUGAAUAAACUCACACCUACUUAAAUAUCUUUGCAAAUGGUCGAUAAAUCAACUGCCAUACCUAUCGGUAUUUGUGAGGAUGUGCCCGUUGUUGUUGCUAAUGUUACUAUUUUGAGUGACUUUGUUAUACUUGAGAUGCCCGAGGACGACAACAUGUCGAUUAUCCUUGGUAGACCUUUCUUGAAUACUGCAGGGGCUGUUAUCGAUUGUAAUAAAAGCAAGAUCACUUUUCAUAUUAAUGGUAAUGAGCAUACGGUGCACUUUCCGAAGAAACAAUUCCAAAUGAAUGUUAUUAAUGUUGUUGAAAAAUCUCCGACAAUCACUAUUGGAAGUUUUCAACUACCUCUACCUACUGUUAAAAAGAAAUAUGAAAUGCUUAUUGUUGGGGACAUUCAUAUCCCCAUUGAGGUAACUUAGUGAUUUACGAAAGUUCUUCGGUUUCAUGCUAAUCAAAAGUGGUUGUUAAUAAGACAUGAUCAACCUUGUUAAUGGACCAUUUUUUAGAGGUAUGAAGUUGAUGAAUUUAGUGAGCACUACUUUCUGUCCCUACCUUUUGUUUUCUGUUCUUAUAUGUUAAAUAAAAUAAAAUGCCAUGUUUUGUCUGUUUUCUAAAUUUCCCAUGGAAUAAAAAAUGACCCAAAAAUAAAAGUUCUCAGAAUGCUCUGAAAAUUUAACACGAUUUUUUCUGAAUAUUUAUGAAUUUCUGGUGCAAAUAACAUCAGAGGGAGGUGCACCAGGUGGGCACAACCCACCUGGGCGCGCCAGGACCCCCAGGCGUGCCCUGGGGGGUUGUGGUCCCCACGUGGGCCCCCUCACUUAUAUCUUCAUCCCACAUCACCGCCUAUCUCCAGACAAAAUCAAUAUUGCUCUCUCUCUCUCUCUCUCUCUCUCUCUCUCUCUCUCUCUCUCUCGUGUUCUUGCUCUCAAACCCGUGGAUUUCGAUCUCUUUGCUCCAAGCUCCAUUUUGAAACUGUUUUGGGGGAUUGUUGCUUGGUAUGUGACUCCUCCAUUUCUCCAAUUAGUUUUUGCUUUAGUGGUAUUUAUUUUGAAUAAUUAGUUGCUCUUGGUGCUGCUGUAGAUGAGCUUACAUGUUGAAUUCUUAGAGUUCUAAGUAGUUUGAAUGCUUGUUAUGGCCUCUAUGCACCCUUAUGAGUAGUUGAUAUCAAUCUUAUGAAGUUUUGUUGAGGAAAUUUUGUGGACUAAAAAUUUCAGAAUUUUGUUCAUAGGAAAAACAUGAGUAUGUUUAGGAAGUUUGCUUCCAAGAAGAACUCCAAAGGAGUGAUUGGGAGUCAUCUGACAGUGAUCUCUAUACCCGGAGAAUGGCGGAGAUACGGCCGUGCGAAUGGCCGCAUAAUCCAUUCAUGGAAGGGGUCAGAAUCCUUCAGGAGUUUACACAAUACGCUGCUAAUGCCGGCCUCACUGACUUCAUCGCAGCUGAAUGUGAAUAGUAUCAUCUCCUCACAAACUCCUUUGUGCAAAGUUUCAAUUUCCUUCCAAGUAAUAACCCCCCUGUGGUAGAAUUUAAUUUAUACGCUGAACCCCAUCAGAUACCGCGCGCUACUGAAUUUAGAAGAGCCUAGGGCCUGCAGAGUUCGAAGGCCUCUAUCAUACUCUGUCUGUAGGAGAUGAGAGAGGGGUGUCCAGUGUCACCGCCACUAGCUUGCACUUUCCUACCGUGCAUUAUUUUGCUCUAUUCAUUGCAAAGUGAUUGCUUGCUAGAGAAAAGGAGGGUGCACUUAGUGCCCCAGACCUUGCUGUUUUAUGCCAUGCACUCCAAGGCAACACCACUUAUAGCUUGGGAGCAAUUGUGGCACGCCGCCUUCACAUUAAUAAAUCCAAGGGCAAAAUACAUGGUGGUAUUUACACUACUCGCUUGGCUAAUCGCUUUAACAUUCAGAUACGCCCACAUGAUUAUCCGUUGCCCAAGGUUCACCUAUAUCACGCGGCCAUGGAACACCACUAGUUUGUUGCAGGCGAUUACCCUAACAUUCAUGUUCCUUAUAACCUGGUUUUUAGUGUGAACACUCGUGAUAUUAUUCCAUUGCAUGCACAUGCUUUGUUUGAUCCUAUUGCCAGGGGUGGAUACAGGAGUAUGCCUGCGGACAUCGUCGCCUACCGGAACAACCUAGCUGCAACACAGGCCCAGCCUCAGCAGUAGGAUCCACAGGUGCCCGCUCCUCAACAUUUCAACAUUGGAACCAAUGGUUUCUUCGACUAAUUAUUACCAAGUUAGGCCAAAAGCCUAAGCUUGGGGGAGUACGUAUUUUCACUGACAUUACAUUCAUGUUUACACAUUUCAUUUGUCGGUGUUUACACUUUUUCAUUGUAUUAUCCAUGCUAAAUUUAUUUUCUUACUUUCUUCUUAUGUGUUUGAAAAACUUUGAGAAAAUCCAAAAAAUAUUUCCUGCUUAUUUUUUAUUUUUCUUCCUUGUUUAAUUUGUUGUAGCACUAAAAAGAAAACCCAAAAAGGUUUCCUUGUUCUUCUUUUACCUGUUGGGAGCGUUCCCGUGUAAAUAGUUUUUCUUGUUUUUGUUUUUCUCUUUUAUUUGUUUGUUUAGAAAAAACCAAAAACUCCAAAAAUAUUUCAGUGUGUUUCUCUGAAUUUCUUUUCUUUUCAUUGAGUCAUACCGAGGAGAAGACCAUGAUGAAAAUGUUGGGUGACUCUCAUAUGCAUUAAUGUUGAUCUAACAAAGAGCCCAUUUUACCUUGUCUUCUCCUGUUGAAUAAAAUGUUUGCAGAUUCCAGCUUAGUUCAUGGCACUCUUGGACUAUUAUUAUUUUCAUACCGUUCGGUUGUGCAAGUGAAAGGCAAUAAUGACGAUAUUGGAUGAACUAGCUGUGGCAGAGAGAAAAGGGUAUGAACUCGACUUGUUCUGUUUUUGUAAAUAUGUUUAACCUAGUAUCCAUGAUUCAGCCCAUUAUGAUUAAAUAUGUUUGCAAUGACAAUUGGAGAUUAUAGUUUCUCAUGCCAUGCAUAAGUAGCUAGCAGUGGAUAAUGAUUUAUCUUGGAUGUCAACAUUGCGUUAAAACGAUUGUGAUGUAGUAUGAUGAUAUGGUAUGCUCCUUUGAAUGUUCGAGUGACUUGACUUGGCACAUGUUCAUGCAUGUAGUUGAAUCAAAACCAACAUAGCCUCUAUGACAUUUAUGUUCAUGGUCUUCAUAUCCUACUCAUGCUAGUGUCCAAUGUUACUUAUGCAUAAUGCAUGUUCAUGACCGUUGUUGCUCUCUAGCUUGCCGCUUCUCAACCUAUUUACUAGCCUUCGCCUAUAGUAAGUGAGAAUUCUGCUUGUACAUCCAAAACCUGAAACCCAAGUUAUUCCAGAUGAGUCUACCAUACCUACCUAUAUGCGGUAUUACCCUCCCAUUCUAAGUAAAUUUGCAUGUGCCACCUCUAAGAACUUCAAAUAAAUAUCCUUUUUGUGUGCUUGGAUUGUUCAUAAAACGACAGGAGGUAGUCGGUAUCUUCCAUGCUAAGUGGGUUAUUCUCAGGUUGAGUGUUUAUUCACUCGCCAUUGCAUGAGAAAGGGGUGGGUAAUAGGGAUGCCCAGUCCCAAACUGCAAAAAUUGAGCUUACAAUAAUCAAACAAAAACUCCUAUGGAGUAAUAACAUUUACUUUAUCGCUUGGGAACUGCCACUAAUGUGUUUAGCAUGGAAGAUAUUGAUAAUUGAUGGUUGCGAAGUAAACAAGAAGGGUGCAUUUCUCAAAAUAUCAUUUACCACUUUUUAAAAAACUUGAGCUCUGGCACCUUUGCAAAUCACUGCUUCCCUCUACAAAGGGACUAUCUAUUUACUUUUAUGUUGUGUCAUCACCUUCUAAAAUAAGCGCCAGAACCUGAGAGCACUGUUGUCAUGCUUAUGCAUGGUGUGUAGCUAAUGUUGGGUGCAUCAUGACUGGAUCUUUCCUACCAUGAAUUACAAUGUUUAAUCGCUUCUUGAACUUUGGAGGUCCUCUGCAUUUAUGUUUUGCAGUCUCAGAAAGGGCUAGCGAGAUACCACUAUUGUCAUAUUAUAUCAUGGUUGUUUUGACAACGUGUUGCUGUCUGAGAUAUCUUAUUAUUUCUCGCUAGCUGAUUAUGUCAUCGAUAUGAGUUAAUAUAAUUUUUAAGAGUUAUUGUCAACAUGGUUAGUUAUAAUUUUGGCCGAAAACUUGGGUGAUACUUAAGCUUAUUUAUGCAAACAAGAGCAAAAGAGUUCGUAAAAGUUUUUCUUUUUCACUUUCAGUUUAUCAACUGAAUUGCUUGAGGACAAGCAAAGGUUUAAGCUUGUGGGAGUUGAUACGUCUCCGUCGUAUCUACUUUUCCUAAUGCUUUUCCUCUUGUUUUGGACUCUAAUUUCCAUGGUUUGAAUGAAACUAACCCGGACUGACGCCGUUUUCAGCAGAACUACCAUGGUGUUCUUAUUUGUGCAGAAAUAAAAGUUCUCGAAAUGGAACGAAACUUUUCGAGGAUUUUUUAUACAAUAAAAGAGAAUUUCUGGAGCCAAGAACCAUCAGAGGGUGGCACCUGGGUGGGCACAACCCACCAGGGCACCCCCCCUCCAGGCGUGCCCAGGUGGGUUGUCCGCACCUGGUGGCCCCGCAGACUCUGAAACCGACGCUAUAAAAUCCUAUUUCUCCAAAAAAAAUCAGGGAGAAAGAAUUAUCGCAUUCUAUGAGACGGAGCCGCCGCCGUCUCCUGUUCUUCAUCGGGAGGCCAGAUCUGGACUCCGUUUGGGGCUCCAGAGAGGGGAUCUUCGAUCUUCGUCAUCACCAACUCUUCUCCAUCGCCAAUUCCAUGAUGCUCCCCACCGGGAGUGGGUGAUUCCUUCGUAGGCUCGCUGGUCGAUGAGGAGUUAGAUGAGAUUCAUCAUGUAAUCGAGUUAGUUUUGUUAGGGCUUGAUCCCUAGUAUCCAUUAUGUUCUGAGAUUGAUGUUGCUAUGACUUUGCCAUGCUUAAUGCUUGUCACUUUAGGCCUGGGUGCCAUGAUUUUAGAUCUGAACCAUUUAUGUUAUCACCAUUAUAUCUAUGUUCUAGAUCCGAUCUUGCAAGUUGUAGUCACCUACUACGUGUUAUGAUCCGGCAACCCCGGAGUGACAAUAGUCGGGACACUUCCCGGUGAUGACCGUAGUUUGAGGAGUUCAUGUAUUUACUGUGUGUUAAUGCUUUGUUCCGGUUCUCUAUUAAAAGGAGGCCUUAAUAUUCCUUAGUUUCCAAUAGGACCCCGCUGCCACGGGAGGGUAGGAUAAAAGAUGGCAUGCAAGUUCUUUCCAUAAGCACGUAUGACUAUUUAUGGAAUACAUGCCUACAUUAUAUUUAUGAACUGGAGCUAGUGUCGUAUUGCCCUAGGUUAUAACUAUCACAUGAUGAAUAUCAUCCAACAAAUCGCCGAUCCAAUGCCUACGAUUUUCCUACAUAUUGUUCUUGCUAAGUUACUACUGUUAUCGUUACUAUUGCACUUGCUACAAAACUACUACUAUCACUGUUACCGUUACUAUUGUUGCUGCUACUAUUAUCAAAAUUAUCAUACUUUGCUACUGAUCACUUUGCUGCAGAUAAUUAAUCUCCACGUGUGGUUGAAUUGACAAAUCAGCCACUAAUACUUACAAAUAUUAUUUGGCUCCCCUUUGUCGAAUCUAUAAAUUUGGGUUGAAUACUCUACCCUCGAAAAACUGUUGUGGUCCCCUAUACUUGUGGGUUAUCAAACAUCUCUAUGUUGAUCAUAUCUACUAUAUGAUUCACGUUCGACCUUUCGGUCUCUAGUGUUUCGAGGCCAUGUCUUUACAUGAUAGGCUCGUUAAGUUUAACCCAAGUAUUCCGCAUGUGCAAAACUGUCUUGCACCCGUUGUAUGUGAACAUAGAGUCUAUCACACCCGAUCAUCACGUGGUGUCUCAACACGACGAACUAUCGCAACAGUGCAUACUCAGGGAGAACACUUAUACCUUGAAAUUUAGUUAAGGGAUCAUCUUAUAAUGCUACCUCCGAACUAAGCAAAAUAAGAUGCAUAAAAUAUAAACAUCACAUGCAAUCAAAAUAUGUGACAUGAUAUGGCCAUCAUCAUUUUGUGAUUUUGAUCUCCAUCUCCAAAGCAUCAUCAUGAUCUCCAUCGUCACCGGCUCGACACCUUGAUCUCCAUCGUAGCGUCCUGGUCGUCUCACCAACUAUUGCUUCUACAACUAUUGCUAACACACAGUGAUAAAGUAAAGCAAUUACAUGGCGUUUGCAUUUCAUACAAUAAAGAGAAAACCAUAAGGCUCCUACCAGUUGCCAAUAAUUUUUACAAAACAUGAUCAUCUCAUACAAUAACGUAUAUCACAUCAUGUCUUGACCAUAUCACAUCACAACAUACCCUGCAAAAACAAGUUAGAUGUCCUCUACUUUGUUGUUGCAAGUUUUAUGUGGCUGCUGCGGGCUUCUAGCAAGAACCGUUCUUAACUACACAUCAAAACCACAACGGUGUUUCGUCAAGUUUGUUGUUUUAACAUUCUUCAAGGACCAGCCGUAGUCAAAUUCGAUUCAACUAAAAUAGGAGAAACAGACACCCGCCAGCCACCUUUAUGCAAAACUAGUUGCAUGUUUGUCAGUGGAACCGGUCUCAUGUGCGUGGACAUGUACGGUUGGUCUGGGCCGCUUCAUCCCACAAUACCGCCGAAUCAAAUAAGACAUUGGUGGUAAGCAAUAUGACUAUCACCGCCCACAACUCUUUGUGUUCUACUCGUGCAUAUCAUCUACGCAUAGACCUGGCUCUGAUGCCAUUGUUGAGAAACGUUGCAUGGAAAACAGAAAAUUUCUACACACACGGAAUGAUCUAUCCAUGGAGAUGCAUAGAAACAAGGGGGAGAGUGUGUCUACAUACCCUCGUAGACCGUAAGCAGAAGCGUUUCACAACGUGGUUGACAUAGUCGAACUUCUUCUCACGUCAACCGAUCAAGUACCGAACGCACGACACCUCCGCGUUCUGCACACGGUCAGCUCGGUGACGUCCCUCACCUUCUUGAUCCAGAAAGUCAUCAAGGUAGUAGAUGAGUUUCGUCAGCACAACGGCAUGGUGACAGUGAUGGUGAACUUAUCUCCGCAGGGCUUCGCCUAAGCACUACAAAAAUAUGAUCUGGGGUGUAAACGGUGGAGGGGGGCACCGCACACGGCUAACAAAUGAUAUGGUGUGUGCUAGGCGCCCCCCUCCUCAUAUAUAUAUAUAGGUGGGAGGGAGAGGGGAAAGGCCAAGGGGCGCCCCAAGUAGGUCCCAAUCCUACUUGGGCUCCUGCCCUUGGUCGCGCCCCCUGCCAUGUUUGUUGGAGGGGGAAGGAAAGAGGGGAGGAGAGGGAAGGAAGGGGGAAUCCUAUUCCACUCUUUCCUUUCCCUUCCCUUCUUUCCUUCUCCUCCUAGGCCAGCCCAUAUGGGGGGCGCACCAGCCCCUUGUGGCUGGUGCGUUUCCCCUCUUGGCCCAUAAGGCCCAUAUCUUUUGUCGGGGGUGCCCGGAACCCCUUCCGGUGACCCGAUAAGUACCCGGUACCCCCCAAAACACAUCCGGUGUCCGAAUACCAUCGUCUUGUAUAUAUCAAUCUUUACCUCUCUACCAUUUCGAUACUCCUCCUCAUGUCCGUGAUCUCAUCCGGGACUCUGAACAACAUUUGGUCACCAAAUCACAUAACUCAUAUAAUACUAUAUCGUCUUCGAACGUUAAGCGUGCGAACCCUAUGGGUUCGAGAACUAUGUAGACAUGACCGAGACACCUCUUCGGUCAAUAACCAAUUGCGGAACCUGGAUGCCCAUAUUGGCUCCUACAUAUUUUACGAAGAUCUUUAUCGGUCGAACCGUUAUGACAACAUACGUAAUUCCCUUUGUGCGUCGGUAUGUUACUUGCCCGAGAUUCGAUCGUCGGUAUCUUCAUACCUAGUUCAAUCUCAUUACUGGCAAGUCUCUUUACUCGUUCCGUAAUACAUCGCCUUGUGACUAACUCCUUACUCGUUUGCUUGCAAGCUUAUGAUGUGUAUUACCGAGAGGGCCCAGAGAUACCUCUCCGAUACUCGGAGUGACAAAUCCUAAUCUCGAUCUAUGCCAACUCAACAAACACCUUCGGAGAUACCUGCAGAGCAUCUUUAUAAUCACCAAGUUACGCUGUGACGUUUGAUAGCACAUAAGGCAUUCCUCCGGUAUCCGGGAGUUGCAUAAUCUCAUAGUCGAAGGAAUAUGUAUUUGACAUGAAGAAAGCAAUAGCAAUAAAACUGAACGAUCAUUAUGCUAAUCUAACGGAUGGGUCUUGUCCAUCACAUCAUUCUCCUAAUGAUGUGAUCCCGUUAUCAAAUGACAACACAUGUCUAUGGUUAGGAAACCUUAACCGUCUUUGAUCAACGAGCUAGUCUAGUAGAGGCAUACUAGGGACACGGUGUUUGUUUAUGUAUUCACACAUGUAUUUAGGUUUUAGAUCAAUACAAUUAUAGCAUGAAUAAUAAACCUUUAUCAUGAAUAAGUAAAUAUAAAAUAACAACUUUAUUAUUGCCUCUAGGGCAUAUUUCCUUCAAAUUUCUCUAAAGGGCUCAUGAUUGGGUCAUGAAUAUAACAUUGACUUAAGCCUCCCCCAAGCUAGAGCGAUACUUUCUCCUUCACGAGGCCAGAAAUUAUAUAUAUAAUUUCGAUCACGAUGAACUAGAAGCACAUGAUAAUUUUUUUGGUGAAAUUCCAAUUUCAAUCGAUUUCGUUCCAAGAUCCAAUAUCAUCGCUAGCCUAUACCAUGUCAAUGCUUUUCCCUUCAAAGAUAAAGGGAAAACCUUCUUCUUAGCUUCAUCUCUGGAUAAACCUGCAAGCUUAAAUAAUCAAGAAAUUUCAUCUACAUAUAUCAAGUGCAUAUCAGGAUGUUCAGUUCCAUCUCCUACAUAGGGAUUGGCUAGCAGUUGUUCCAUCAUACCCGAAGGAAUUUCAUAACCAAUAUUUUUAGUAGGUGCAGUAGGUUGAGGGGCAACUAAUUGUGCUUCCAGUCGAGGUGAAGAUACCCCGAACAAACCCCUCAAUGGAUGGUUUUCCAUAGUAACAAGUGACAAUAAAUUUUAGCACGUAGUAAUAAUUUUUUCCUUACCAAUUUCCACUUACCAAGAGCGCUUCACUCCCCGGAAACGGCGCCAAAAAAGAGUCUUGGUGACCCACAAGUAUAGGGGAUCAAUCGUGGUCCUUUCGAUAAGUAAGAGUGUCGAACCCAACGAGGAGCAGAAGGAAAUGACAAGUGGUUUUCAGCGAGGUAAUUUCUGUAAGCACUGAAAUAGUCGGUAACAGGUAGUUUGAUAGCAAGAUAAUUUGUAAUGGACAAGUAAAGGUAACUGUAAAUAAAGUGCAGCAAGGUAGCCUAAUCCUUUUCUGGCAAAGGACAUGCCAAAAUAGUCUCUUAUAAUAAGCAAAGUGUUCUUGAGGGUACACGGGAAUUUCAUCUUGUCACUUUCAUCAUGUUGGUUUGAUUUGCUUUCACUACUUUGAUAAUUUUGAUAUGUGGGUGGACCCGGUGCUUGGGUGUUGUUCUUACUUGAACAAACCUCCCACUUAUGAUUAACCCCCCCCCCCGGCAAGCAUCUGCAACUACAAGAAAAGUAUUAAAAUAAAAUCUAACCAUAGCAUUAAACAUUUGGAUCCAAAUCGGCCCCUUACAAAGUAGCGCAUAAACUAGGGUUUAAGCUUCUGUCACUUUAGGAACCCAUCAUCUAAUAACUACUCCACAAUGCAUUCCCUUAGCCCCAAAUAUGGUGAAGUGCCAUGUAGUCAACGUUCACAUGACACCACUAAGGGAAUCACAACAUACAUAUCAUGAAAAUAUCGAACACAUAUCAAGUUCACAUGAUUACUUGCAACAUGAUUUCUCCCAUGACCUCAAGAACUAAAGUAACUACUCACAAAUGAUAAUCAUGCUCAAGAUCAGAGGGGUAUUAAAUAGCAUAAUGGAUCUGAACAUAUAAUAUUCCACUAAAUAAAUCUUAUAGUAAUCAACUACAAGAUGUAAUCAACACUACUAGUCACCCACAAGUACCAAUCUAAGGUUCCGGUACAAAGAUUGAACACAAGAGAUGAACUAGGGUUUAGGAGGAGAUGGAGUUGUUGAAGAUGUUGAUAGAGAUUGCCCUCCUAAAUAUGAGAGGGUUGUUGGUGAGGACGAUGGCUUUGAUUUCCCCCUUCGGGAGGGAAGUUCCCCCGACGGAAUCGCUCCACGGAGGGCAAACGUGCUCCUGCCCAAGUUCUGCCUCGAGAUGGUGGCGUUCCAUCCCGAAAGUCCUCUCCUUAUUUUUUCUAGGUCAAAAUGACUUAUAUACCAGAAGAUGGGCACCGGAGGUGGGCUGGGCUGAGCACAACCCACUAGGGCGCGCCUGGGGGGGCAUGGCGCGCCCUGGUGUAUUGUGCUCACCAGGUGGCCCCUUUCGGUAGUUAUUUGCUCCAGUAUUUUUCAUAUAUUCCAAAUUAAUUCUCCGUGAAGUUUUAGCUUAUUAGGAGUUGUACAGAAUAGGUAACUUUGACGUAGCUUUUUCAAGUCCAAAAUUUCAGCUGCCAGCAUUCCCCCUCUUUGUGUAAACCUUGCAUAUUAUGAGAGAAAAGGCAUUAGAAUUACUCCAUAAAGAUUUAUUAUGCAUAAAAAUAUUGUAAAUAACAGUAAGAAAUCAUGAUGCAAAAUGGACGUAUCAAAUGACCGGCCAUUGGUGCCCGCGGUUUGCUUGUAGUACUCAUUGGCAUUGUGAUCCUAAAAACAAACAUUGAGACAACUAUGAGCUCAUGCACUUCAUAUCAACACGACCAAAGAGACAAAGAUGGUGAAAUCUCACAUAAUCAUCGAUGGUGACGCCACUUGGAGGUGCAUUCCGCACGGCCUCCAAGCACCCACUCCAAUGACCGCAAGCUUUUUUGAUGGUGUCCCAACACCCUUGGAGUGGCUUCAAGCUUCGAUCGGAAGGGAAUGGCAUCAUUUUGUGAUAUUUGUCCUCGAUUCUUUGCCAAUAGUUCUCAUAGGUUUGAUCCUUGCCGAUCAUGGCGUCAAGAGAGACGCUUUCCCAUGCUUUAACUAAGCACACAUCCUCCGUCUCCGUGUAGUUGCCUGUCCUCCCCACCCUAGAAUCAUAAUUGGACUCGUUGAUAUCUUGCACCUCAUCGUCAUUAUCUUCAUUCACCUCCGCCUCGACCUCAACAUAAGAUGCAUCAAAAUAACCGAGGUGGGCACUCAAAUCCACCGUGCUCUCGACCAACAUCUCGGCAUAUGUGGAGGGCACAUUUUGGCUACAAAAUUAAAUGGCCGAAGAUCAAACAAGUGUUGGGAACAGCCGAUGCAUGGAUCAUCGGAGCAAACCGAGCAAAAGAACAUGUUUAUACCUCCCGAUUGUUUCAUCAAACACAUUGUAUGCAUGCCCGGCCGCUUCGCUGUGAAUGUGGAUGCCAUCGUCGGCCGGAGGCAGAGGAGGAGCCCGACCCCUUGUCGCAAUCGCCUUCUUCCCCGGUGGCUUCGCCUGCGCACCGCUGGGCCAGUGGAGGUGGUCUUCUUCCUCCCGCCCGCACCUUUGGCGGGCGGAAUCAGAGAGAGGCCGAAGGAGGGUCGUGUCGCGCCAGCCGCGCCACCUUGGACGAUGUGGUUCCCCUGCCUCUUCCUUUUGAUGGCGGCGGCGGGAGGAGUUGGGGCAGCGGCGGAAGCCGUUGCCGGCGCGGGCGGACGGAGCGGCGACGACGGUGGAGGCACGAUCAGCGCAUGAUAUGAGGCACCCGGGGCGGCGGGUACUCCAUCCGGUCAAUUUCCGGUGCCGUGAGGCCGAACUGCGAGGUCAGAGGCGGGAUUGGAGGCGCGGGAGGCGAGAACUGAAACGACCGGAGUUUGCGUCAAGGGUAAGGGGACCCGACAAACUUGGGCGAAAUCUCGUAGAUAUGGAGGGAAUGGGCUCGCGGAUUCGAGAUCUCAAAUUUUUUCUUAGGACGAUUGGAUUUGAAGGAUCUGUUCGGGACGGGUAUACAGGAUGGAUCUCGUAAAUCGACAAUUAUUAUACCGAAUGGUUCUGUUUGCUCUUAGCCUGCCAAGAUUGGGACAUUGAUGUCUACCUAAAAAAAACUAUUGCUGCUAUUGGGCAAAGCGUGGCAGACAUUUACACCAAUACUCUACUAGCUUUUCUUCGUUAUUAGCAUAUAUGUAUCAUCUAGCCAUGCAAUGUACCCCCAUAAACCAAUAUUAAAACGCAUUAUACUAUUUCACUCCGGCAUGUGUAUUGAGUUAGUCUUACUCAGUCUUUUACACAUCCAGAACAAUCGUACAAGUAAUAACUAAAUGUUGCUGCCUGUUCGGUAAAUAUGUAUUGGUCUCUUUUGAACUAAGCACUUACUGUACAUUUUACAUUCUUUGUUUUCUAUUAAGUCAUUCCACAGAAUUCUGGUAGUAUGUAUUUAUAGAUCAAAACCAAGGCGUGUCGGCAUAUGAACAUAGGAAUGAAUGAGCUAUAAACAUUCACCAUAUGCCAAAAUCAGGGCACGAACCAAUCCAAUUAAAGAACAGCUCGACCAGAACAGAUGUACUACGUACUAAAGUUUGCACUGAAAUGAACAGUUUUGAUAAUAAAAAACUUCCACACUGUCAGCUCUAUGUGGAGCAAACUAUUUAAAGUUUCUUCCAUAAAAGAAAACGACAAAGACAAUCUUGUGCUUCCACGCGCGCGCUUCUGCCCGAUAGUGCCAAUUUAGCCGCACUCAAGAUGUUUGCUCCUCAAGAGUCCAGUACGAAAGCCACAUUCAUGAAUCUGGAAACAAACCCAGCCGACGUGGUUAGCCUCUACCUGCCCCGUCACACCACAGGUUUUGUUCGCACCAAACACCAACACAGCCCCAAUCAGCUCUAUGCUACCGAGCAGCUUCACCGAAACUGGACAGGCAGAUUUCUCCAACCAGCACAACCAGUCACUUGGCUGUGGGUUUCUAAUUUCUACUGUAAUUACAAAUCGCGAUUUCUUCAUGCAACAUCAAAUUGCUCUGCUUUUUGUUUAAUACUCCCUCCGUUCCUAAAUAUUUGUCUUUCUAGAGAUUUCAACAAGUGCCUACAUACGGAGCAAAAUGAGUGAAUCUAUACUCUAAAAUAUGUCUAUAUACAUUCGUAUGUGGUAGCCCAUUUGAAAUCUCUAAAAAGACAAAUAUUUAGGAACGGAGGGAGUACAUCAAAUCGCGAUUUGAUGUUGGUUGUGCUGGUUGUGCUGGUUGCAUAAAAGAAAUGUUUAACACUAGGCAUACUAACGAUUUUUCAGACCACAGCUAGUCGGAAAAAUAACCCAAUAGCUCUGAAACCAAAGAUGCCAUACUUGGUUUGUUUUUUCAGACUGGCUGCGAAUGAACAUACGUGCAUUUCACGGUUUUUUGUAACAUAUGACGCAUCAACUGCACUAGUGACCAGCUAGGUGAUAAAGAGAGAAGUUCCAUGGUUUGUUUUCAGAUUUGUUCAGGUUCACCGACGGUUGGCUAAAAUGAGUAGUGUCACAACUCAACUCAUAUGCAGAGGCCGGGGUUGCACCCCUUUUCCAAAAAAAACAAAAACAAAACACAACUCAACUCAUAUGGAUUUAGACGAUGAUGAAUAAGAAACCCAUAUCUAGUGGAGGCAUUUAUUGUGACAAGUGAGACAAGAUUGUUGAGGUGCUAUUUUGGGUAAACAUCUGACUCUGAAGGCAAUUUCGCGAAAAAACACAGCUUCAUUUCGAUCAAAAAUCUCAAAAAGAACACCAGAAACGGGAUAAGAUGAAUUCCCAACAGCUACAGCAGAUCCGACCUAACAAACAUCAACUAAAUUCAACAGGUUUAUCCUCGAACCAAACGAACCACAGUAAAGAAGCCUCGAAGAACUUGUAGCAACAAUUGCAAGCUGCUGAACAUUCAGCCUAUAGAGAACCUGAACUGUAGCAACAAUUGCAAGCUGCUGAACACGCAGCAAGCAACUAGAAGCUCACAAACAAUAGCAACAAACAAGUAGAACCUCUGAAUACUAUCAGCAAGUAAUUUGAACCUCGUGAUCAGCACCACUAUUGAAGUGCCUCAACUAGCAUCAAUCGCUUUGAUUAACAGCAAAAUCAGAAAACUAACUCCAGAACAGUAAAAGUAACAAGAUGAAGCCAGCAACCAGCAUCCCCAGCAUCUCCAGCACCAUCUUCAAUGGAGAUCAUCUUCUUCAGCGACCCGCAUCUCAAGCACCAUCUUCAGUGAAGAGCAAAAUCAAAAAGCUAACUCCAGAACAGUAAAGGUAACCAGAUCAAGCUAGCAACCACAUCAUCUUCCAUGAACAUCAUCUUCUUGUACAUGCGUUUCAAGCAGCUCCUCCUCGGCAGUUUCUUCAGUGCUAUCACCUCCUUGAAUCCUAAACCAUCAAUCAAGAACAAUCAAAACCUGAAUAUACUAGCAGCAAGCAGUACACAAGGGUAUGAACAGAUGAAGAAAAUCAUAACCUGAAGGGCAGCGCCCAGACUGCUGGCGCUACCGAUGAGGAGACCUCCUGAUCUGGAAAUGGUCGGUCGACCAAGCCGUGGGGCAGCCACACGCCCAUGUCAUUGUUAGGGUACACCUUGGGCCUGACCACAUCAAAGGUACUCGUGUCGAGGAAAUAAAUGCCAGAGCGCAGGUGCAGGUCCGAUGUAUUGAAGGAGCGUGAGCAGCCUCGCCCAACAAAGAUCAG